RNAcentral lists this ribosomal RNA (497 nucleotides) under uncultured bacterium. Its description in RNAcentral is "partial 16S ribosomal RNA". It matches the Rfam family "Bacterial small subunit ribosomal RNA", at positions 28 to 507 of the family's 1533-position model. The record is from RNAcentral.
GAUGAACGCUGGCGGCGUGCCUAAUACAUGCAAGUCGAGCGAACAGAUGAGGAGCUUGCUCCUCUGACGUUAGCGGCGGACGGGUGAGUAACACGUGGAUAACCUACCUAUAAGACUGUGAUAACUUCGGGAAACCGGAGCUAAUACCGGAUAAUAUAUUGCACCGCAUGGUUCAAUAGUGAAAGACGGUUUUGCUGUCACUUAUAGAUGGAUCCGCGCCGCAUUAGCUAGUUGGUAAGGUAACGGCUUACCAAGGCAACGAUGCGUAGCCGACCUGAGAGGGUGAACGGCCAGACUGGAAGUGAGACACGGCCCAGACACCUACGGGAGGCAGCAGUAGGGACUCUUACGCAAUGGGCGAGAGCCUGACGGAGCAACGUCGCGUGAGUGAUGAAGGUCUUCUGAUCGUAAAACUCUGUUAUUAGGGAAGAACAAAUGUGUAAGUAACUAUGCACGUCUUGACGGUACCUAAUCAGAAAGCCACGGCUAACUACGUG